Molecule: ribosomal RNA, 495 nt
Filed under: uncultured bacterium
Lineage: Bacteria
Description: partial 16S ribosomal RNA
Rfam family: Bacterial small subunit ribosomal RNA
Source: RNAcentral
GACGAACGCUGGCGGCGUGCCUAAUACGUGCAAGUAGAACGCUGAAGGCGGAGCUUGCUUCUCCGGAUGAGUUGCGAACGGGUGAGUAACGCGUAGGUAACCUGCCUGGUAGCGGGGGCUACCUAUUGGAAACGAUAGCUAAUACCGCAUAACAGUAGAUGUUGCAUGACAUUUGCUUAAAAGGUGCAAUUGCAUCACUACCAGAUGGAAUUGCGUUGUAUUAGCUAGUUGGUGUGGUAACGGCUCACGAAGGCGACGAUACGUAGACGACCGGCGAGAGUGAUCGGCCGCACGGGAGCGCGGACGCGGCCAUGAGGCCUGCGGGAGGGAGCAGAAUGCAAUCUGCGGCAGUAGGCGGGAGUCUGACCGAACGACGCGGCGUCAGAGAAGAAGGUGUUGCGAUCGUAAAGCUCUGUUGUGAGUGAAGAACGGGUGUGAGAAUGGAAAGUGCACACGGUGACGGUAUCUUACGAGAAAGCAACGGCUAACUACGUG